RNAcentral lists this ribosomal RNA (464 nucleotides) under Segatella oris. Its description in RNAcentral is "bacterial SSU rRNA". It matches the Rfam family "Bacterial small subunit ribosomal RNA", at positions 28 to 480 of the family's 1533-position model. Lineage: Bacteria; Pseudomonadati; Bacteroidota; Bacteroidia; Bacteroidales; Prevotellaceae. The record is from RNAcentral.
GAUGAACGCUGGCUACAGGCUUAACACAUGCAAGUCGAGGGGAAACGACGGGGAAGCUUGCUUCCCCGGGCGUCGACCGGCGCACGGGUGAGUAACGCGUAUCCAACCUGCCUCUGACUGAGGGAUAACCCGUCGAAAGUCAGCCUAAUACCUCAUGGCAUCGUCUGCGGGCAUCCAACGACGAUUAAAGAUUUCAUCGGUCAGGGAUGGGGAUGCGUCUGAUUAGCUUGUUGGCGGGGUAACGGCCCACCAAGGCGACGAUCAGUAGGGGUUCUGAGAGGAAGGUCCCCCACAUUGGAACUGAGACACGGUCCAAACUCCUACGGGAGGCAGCAGUGAGGAAUAUUGGUCAAUGGGCGGGAGCCUGAACCAGCCAAGUAGCGUGCAGGAUGACGGCCCUAUGGGUUGUAAACUGCUUUUAUGCGGGGAUAAAGUGCAGGACGUGUCCUUCAUUGCAGGUACCG